Molecule: ribosomal RNA, 544 nt
Filed under: uncultured bacterium
Lineage: Bacteria
Description: bacterial SSU rRNA
Rfam family: Bacterial small subunit ribosomal RNA
Source: RNAcentral
AGUCAAUAGAUACCCAGGUAGUCCAUGCCGUAAACGAUGAUUGCUAGGUGUGGGGGGUCUGACCCCUUCCGUGCCGGGGUUAAACACAAAUAAGCAAUCCACCUGGGGAGUACGGCCGCAAGGUUGAAACUCAAAGGAAUUGACGGGGGCCCGCACAAGCAGUGGAGUAUGUGGUUUAAUUCGAAGCAACGCGAAGAACCUUACCAGGUCUUGACAUCCACCGAAUCCUGUAGAGAUACGGGAGUGCCCUUCGGGGAACGGUGAGACAGGUGGUGCAUGGUUGUCGUCAGCUCGUGUCGUGAGAUGUUGGGUUAAGUCCCGCAACGAGCGCAACCCUUGUGAAUAGUUGCUACGAAAGAGCACUCUAUUCAGACCGCCGUUGACAAAACGGAGGAAGGUGGGGAUGACGUCAAAUCAUCAUGCCCCUUAUGACCUGGGCUACACACGUACUACAAUGGCCGUUAACAGAGGGAUGCAAUACCGCGAGGUGGAGCGAACCCCUAAAAACGGUCUCAGUUCAGAUUGCAGGCUGAAACUCGCCUGC